Molecule: ribosomal RNA, 2901 nt
Filed under: Cronobacter sakazakii
Lineage: Bacteria; Pseudomonadati; Pseudomonadota; Gammaproteobacteria; Enterobacterales; Enterobacteriaceae
Description: bacterial LSU rRNA
Rfam family: Bacterial large subunit ribosomal RNA
Source: RNAcentral
UUAAGCGAACAAGCGUACACGGUGGAUGCCCUGGCAGUCAGAGGCGAUGAAGGACGUGCUAAUCUGCGAAAAGCGCCGGUAAGGUGAUAUGAACCGUUAUAACCGGCGAUGUCCGAAUGGGGAAACCCGGUGCACUUCGGUGCAUCAUCGUUAGCUGAAUACAUAGGCUAACGAGGCGAACCGGGGGAACUGAAACAUCUAAGUACCCCGAGGAAAAGAAAUCAACCGAGAUUCCCCCAGUAGCGGCGAGCGAACGGGGAACAGCCCAGAGCCUGAAUCAGCUUGUGUGUCAGUGGAACGGUCUGGAAAGGCCGGCGAUACAGGGUGACAGCCCCGUACACGAAGGCACACAGGCUGUGAGCUCGAUGAGUAGGGCGGGACACGUGAUAUCCUGUCUGAAGAUGGGGGGACCAUCCUCCAAGGCUAAAUACUCCUGACUGACCGAUAGUGAACCAGUACCGUGAGGGAAAGGCGAAAAGAACCCCGGCGAGGGGAGUGAAACAGAACCUGAAACCGUGUACGUACAAGCAGUGGGAGCCUUCGUAAGAGGGUGACUGCGUACCUUUUGUAUAAUGGGUCAGCGACUUAUAUUCUGUAGCAAGGUUAACCGUAUAGGGGAGCCGAAGGGAAACCGAGUCUUAAUUGGGCGUUAAGUUGCAGGGUAUAGACCCGAAACCCGGUGAUCUAGCCAUGGGCAGGUUGAAGGUUGGGUAACACUAACUGGAGGACCGAACCGACUAAUGUUGAAAAAUUAGCGGAUGACCUGUGGCUGGGGGUGAAAGGCCAAUCAAACCGGGAGAUAGCUGGUUCUCCCCGAAAGCUAUUUAGGUAGCGCCUCGUGAACUCAUCUCCGGGGGUAGAGCACUGUUUCGGCUAGGGGGCCAUCCCGGCUUACCAACCCGAUGCAAACUGCGAAUACCGGAGAAUGUUAUCACGGGAGACACACGGCGGGUGCUAACGUCCGUCGUGAAGAGGGAAACAACCCAGACCGCCAGCUAAGGUCCCAAAGUCAUGGUUAAGUGGGAAACGAUGUGGGAAGGCCCAGACAGCCAGGAUGUUGGCUUAGAAGCAGCCAUCAUUUAAAGAAAGCGUAAUAGCUCACUGGUCGAGUCGGCCUGCGCGGAAGAUGUAACGGGGCUAAACCAUGCACCGAAGCUGCGGCAGCGACGCUUAUGCGUUGUUGGGUAGGGGAGCGUUCUGUAAGCCUGCGAAGGUGUGCUGUGAGGCAUGCUGGAGGUAUCAGAAGUGCGAAUGCUGACAUAAGUAACGAUAAAGCGGGUGAAAAGCCCGCUCGCCGGAAGACCAAGGGUUCCUGUCCAACGUUAAUCGGGGCAGGGUGAGUCGACCCCUAAGGCGAGGCCGAAAGGCGUAGUCGAUGGGAAACAGGUUAAUAUUCCUGUACUUGGUGUUACUGCGAAGGGGGGACGGAGAAGGCUAUGUCGGCCGGGCGACGGUUGUCCCGGUUUAAGCGUGUAGGCUGACUUUCCAGGCAAAUCCGGAAAGUUAAGGCUGAGGCGUGAUGACGAGGCACUACGGUGCUGAAGUGACAAAUGCCCUGCUUCCAGGAAAAGCCUCUAAGCAUCAGGUAACAUCAAAUCGUACCCCAAACCGACACAGGUGGUCAGGUAGAGAAUACCAAGGCGCUUGAGAGAACUCGGGUGAAGGAACUAGGCAAAAUGGUGCCGUAACUUCGGGAGAAGGCACGCUGACAUGUAGGUGAAGCCCCUGCGGGUGGAGCUGAAGUCAGUCGAAGAUACCAGCUGGCUGCAACUGUUUAUUAAAAACACAGCACUGUGCAAACACGAAAGUGGACGUAUACGGUGUGACGCCUGCCCGGUGCCGGAAGGUUAAUUGAUGGGGUUAUCGCAAGAGAAGCUCCUGAUCGAAGCCCCGGUAAACGGCGGCCGUAACUAUAACGGUCCUAAGGUAGCGAAAUUCCUUGUCGGGUAAGUUCCGACCUGCACGAAUGGCGUAAUGAUGGCCAGGCUGUCUCCACCCGAGACUCAGUGAAAUUGAACUCGCUGUGAAGAUGCAGUGUACCCGCGGCAAGACGGAAAGACCCCGUGAACCUUUACUACAGCUUGACACUGAACAUUGAGCCUUGAUGUGUAGGAUAGGUGGGAGGCUUUGAAGCGUGGACGCCAGUCUGCGUGGAGCCGACCUUGAAAUACCACCCUUUAAUGUUUGAUGUUCUAACCUGGCGCCGUGAUCCGGCGUGGGGACAGUGUCUGGUGGGUAGUUUGACUGGGGCGGUCUCCUCCCAAAGUGUAACGGAGGAGCACGAAGGUCAGCUAAUCCUGGUCGGACAUCAGGAGGUUAGUGCAAUGGCAUAAGCUGGCUUGACUGCGAGAGUGACGGCUCGAGCAGGUGCGAAAGCAGGUCAUAGUGAUCCGGUGGUUCUGUAUGGAAGGGCCAUCGCUCAACGGAUAAAAGGUACUCCGGGGAUAACAGGCUGAUACCGCCCAAGAGUUCAUAUCGACGGCGGUGUUUGGCACCUCGAUGUCGGCUCAUCACAUCCUGGGGCUGAAGUAGGUCCCAAGGGUAUGGCUGUUCGCCAUUUAAAGUGGUACGCGAGCUGGGUUUAGAACGUCGUGAGACAGUUCGGUCCCUAUCUGCCGUGGGCGCUGGAGAAUUGAGGGGGGCUGCUCCCAGUACGAGAGGACCGGAGUGGACGCAUCACUGGUGUUCGGGUUGUCAUGCCAAUGGCACUGCCCGGUAGCUAAAUGCGGAAGAGAUAAGUGCUGAAAGCAUCUAAGCACGAAACUUGCCCCGAGAUGAGUUCUCCCUGAGACUAUAAGUCUCCUGAAGGAACGUUGAAGACGACGACGUUGAUAGGCCGGGUGUGUAAGCGCAGCGAUGCGUUGAGCUAACCGGUACUAAUGAACCGUGAGGCUUAACCUU